This 494-nucleotide ribosomal RNA is filed under the name uncultured bacterium. RNAcentral describes it as "partial 16S ribosomal RNA". It matches the Rfam family "Bacterial small subunit ribosomal RNA", at positions 28 to 507 of the family's 1533-position model. The record is from RNAcentral.
GACGAACGCUGGCGGCGUGCCUAAUACAUGCAAGUCGAACGCUGAAGGAGGAGCUUGCUUCUCCGGAUGAGUUGCGAACGGGUGAGUAACGCGUAGGUAACCUGCCUGGUAGCGGGGGAUAACUAUUGGAAACGAUAGCUAAUACCGCAUAACAGUAGAUGUUGCAUGACAUUUGCUUAAAAGGUGCAAUUGCAUCACUACCAGAUGGACCUGCGUUGUAUUAGCUAGUUGGUGAGGUAACGGCUCACCAAGGCGACGAUACAUAGCCGACCUGAGAGGGGGAUGGCCCACAUGGGGACUGGACAAGGGCCAGGAUUCUUCCGGAAGGAGCAGGAAGGGAAUCUUCGGAAAUGGAGGGAGGUCUGACCGGGAACCGCGGCGUGAGUGAAGAAGGUUUUGGGAUCGUAAGGCUCGGUUGUAGAGAAGAACGAGUGUGAGAGUGGAAAGUUCACACUGUGACGGUAUCUUACCAGAAAGGGACGGCUAACUACGUG